AAGUCGUAACAAGGUCUCCGUUGGUGAACCAGCGGAGGGAUCAUUGCUGGAACAAACGCCCUCACGGGUGCUACCCAGAAACCCUUUGUGAAUCAUACCUAAAACUGUUGCCUCGGCAUGGUUGGCUUCUUUUAGAAGCCCCUCUCCCCGGAGAGGAGCAGACCGGCCGGUGGCCUUAUAAACUCUUUAUUUUUGUACAUCUUCUGAGUAAAACAACUAAAAAAUGAAUCAAAACUUUCAACAACGGAUCUCUUGGUUCUG
RNAcentral lists this unclassified non-coding RNA (261 nucleotides) under Ambarignomonia petiolorum. RNAcentral's name for it is "partial internal transcribed spacer region". The stretch from base 1 to 46 matches the Rfam family "Eukaryotic small subunit ribosomal RNA", at positions 1786 to 1831 of the family's 1831-position model. Lineage: Eukaryota; Fungi; Ascomycota; Sordariomycetes; Diaporthales; Gnomoniaceae. The record is from RNAcentral.